AUGAGCACCAGUUACUUCUACCAGUUGCUCACUUUCAGAGGAAUGCACUGCGCAGCAGCACCCUGGGUGUGGGAUUCGUUAAUUCCUCUCAAACAUAGAACUUUCCUUUGGCUAGCUUUCCGAGGGAGGCUCAACACCAGGGACAAUAUGCUCAGGAAAAACUGGGUCGCCAUUGCUCCGUUCGCUGACUGUGACACCUGCCCUGCGUUGGAAAGCAUUGGCCACAUUGUGUUGCAUUGCAGGGCAGCUUCUGUUUUAUGGAGCAUUUUGGGGCUGGGCUCUUUGGCGCAUGCAUCAUCCGACAUCCUCUCUUUUGUCGAAGCUGCUGGCAGGCAGUUGCACUGCAGGCGCAUAUGGAAGGUGCUGUUCGCUGCUUGCGCUGUCACUUCUUGGCAUGCCCGCAACGAUCGAGUUUUUCAUUCAAAGAUAUGGUCUGAGGCAUAUACCAAGUUUUAUGUAGCUGAUCUCCUUAAGUUAUGGAGCCACAGGGCGAGUAAACAGCAAGACAAGUCAGAUCUUCUCUAUUGGGGUACUAUGUUUACUGACUAA
RNAcentral lists this ribosomal RNA (549 nucleotides) under Triticum aestivum (bread wheat). Its description in RNAcentral is "partial small subunit ribosomal RNA". The record is from RNAcentral. Lineage: Eukaryota; Viridiplantae; Streptophyta; Magnoliopsida; Poales; Poaceae.